RNAcentral lists this ribosomal RNA (432 nucleotides) under uncultured bacterium. Its description in RNAcentral is "partial 16S ribosomal RNA". It matches the Rfam family "Bacterial small subunit ribosomal RNA", at positions 29 to 507 of the family's 1533-position model. The record is from RNAcentral.
GCGAACGCUGGCGGCAGGCCUAACACAUGCAAGUCGAACGAACUCUUCGGAGUUAGUGGCGGACGGGUGAGUAACACGUGGGAACGUGCCUUUAGGUUCGGAAUAACUCAGGGCAACUUGUGCUAAUACCGAAUGUGCCCUUCGGGGGAAAGAUUUAUCGCCUUUAGAGCGGCCCGCGUCUGAUUAGCUAGUUGGUGAGGUAAAGGCUCACCAAGGCGACGAUCAGUAGCUGGUCUGAGAGGAUGAUCAGCCACAUUGGGACUGAGACACGGCCCAAACUCCUACGGGAGGCAGCAGUGGGGAAUCUUGCGCAAUGGGCGAAAGCCUGACGCAGCCAUGCCGCGUGAAUGAUGAAGGUCUUAGGAUUGUAAAAUUCUUUCACCGGGGACGAUAAUGACGGUACCCGGAGAAGAAGCCCCGGCUAACUUCGUG